GAAUGGAAUGGUACAAUUACGUAUCAUCAGACAAUUGGUAUGGAUUCCAUUACUGACACAACAAAACUUGAUAGAAGGUGUAUCAUCAAACAAUGAGAAAGUUGAGCACCAUUUUUAAUAAUAUGAUCCCAUAUCCAUGUCCAAUAGUUAAUUUGAAAAUUGGUGAUUGGUAAACUUCCUACAAAGGCAUUGCUGGCCAAC
This 201-nucleotide long non-coding RNA is filed under the name Elaeis guineensis (African oil palm). RNAcentral describes it as "long non-coding RNA (EGUI_LNC027447)". The record is from RNAcentral. Lineage: Eukaryota; Viridiplantae; Streptophyta; Magnoliopsida; Arecales; Arecaceae.